CACACCGCCCCGUCACACCAUGGGGAGUGGGGUUUCACCAGAAGCAGGGUAGCCUAACCGCAAGGAGGGCGCCUACCACGGUGAGAUUCAUGACUGGGGGUGAAGUCGUAACAAGGUACCC
Molecule: ribosomal RNA, 121 nt
Filed under: uncultured bacterium
Lineage: Bacteria
Description: partial 16S ribosomal RNA
Rfam family: Bacterial small subunit ribosomal RNA
Source: RNAcentral